Polistes canadensis is the source of this 461-nucleotide long non-coding RNA. RefSeq lists it as uncharacterized. NCBI's taxonomy places the organism in Eukaryota, Metazoa, Arthropoda, Insecta, Hymenoptera, Vespidae. The transcript is spliced from 4 exons. The record is from RefSeq and is a predicted model, not a curated record.
GGAAACUUCAGUACGCGACCAGCCACCGACGUGUGUUUACGGUCGGAGCUCCAGCGGAAGCUGUGAGGGCUGUCUGUCUGUCUGUCUAUUUCCCUUCUAUCUCUUCUAAAUCUUUAUUUUUCUCAUCGAGAUUAUUCGAAACUUCUUGAAUAAGAACGCGAGGAACGCGCCGCCUUUACGGGACUUUGUUCGAUGGUGGUAGUGUGCUCUUGGUGGUGGUGAUGGUGGUGCUGGUUUGCGGUAUAACGCUUAACCGAUGUUGCAGCAACAGAAGCAGUCCGAGGAUCGGAUCGAUGAUGUUCCAGAAAAUUUUCUAAAUGAAUAAAAUUUAGUGAGGGGGGAAAGUUUCGAGAAUGCGUUGAAUCAAGCCAUCGUCGUAGACGAACUUGGGUUAUGGGAAUGGAUUCGACCUUGUUGCUACUCCUUCUAGUCGGUAAGUAUAUAUAUAGAUACUAAAUAUA